Molecule: ribosomal RNA, 250 nt
Filed under: uncultured bacterium
Lineage: Bacteria
Description: partial 16S ribosomal RNA
Rfam family: Bacterial small subunit ribosomal RNA
Source: RNAcentral
UACGGAGGGUGCGAGCGUUGUUCGGAAUCAUUGGGCGUAAAGGGCGUGCAGGCGGCUGGGUAAGUCUGAUGUGAAAGCCCGGGGCUCAACCCCGGAAGUGCAUUGGAAACUGUCCAGCUUGAGUACCGGAGAGGAUGGGGGAAUUCCCGGUGUAGAGGUGAAAUUCGUAGAGAUCGGGAGGAAUACCAGUGGCGAAGGCGCCCAUCUGGACGGAUACUGACGCUGAGACGCGAAAGCGUGGGGAGCAAAC